CCUACGGGAGGCAGCAGUGAGGAAUAUUGGUCAAUGGUCGGGAGACUGAACCAGCCAAGCCGCGUGAGGGAUGAAGGUACAGCGUAUCGUAAACCUCUUUUGUCAGGGAACAAAGGCGGGGACGUGUCCGCGGAUGAGUGUACCCGAAGAAACAGCAUCGGCUAACUCCGUGCCAGCAGCCGCGGUAAUACGGAGGAUGCGAGCGUUAUCCGGAUUUAUGGGGUUAAAAGGGUGCGCAGGCGGUCUGUUAAGUCCGCGGUCAAAGCCCGGGGCUCAACCCCGGCCCGCCGUUGAAACUGGCAGUCUCGAGUUGGAGAGAAGUAGGCGGAAUGCGCGGUGUAGCGGUGAAAUGCAUAGAUAUUGCGCAGAACUCCGAUUGCGAAGGCAGCAUGCCGGCUCCACACUGACGCUGAGGCACGAAAGCGUGGGUAUCGAACAAGAUUAGAUACCCGAGUAGUC
RNAcentral lists this ribosomal RNA (459 nucleotides) under uncultured bacterium. Its description in RNAcentral is "partial 16S ribosomal RNA". It matches the Rfam family "Bacterial small subunit ribosomal RNA", at positions 338 to 795 of the family's 1533-position model. The record is from RNAcentral.